GCACCUAUAGCUCAGAAGGGUGAGAGCGCGCAAAAGCGUUUACGUGAUUGCGAGGUCGCUGGUUCGAGUCCAGCUAGGUAAA
RNAcentral lists this transfer RNA (82 nucleotides) under Vibrio harveyi. It matches the Rfam family "tRNA". Rfam says of the family: Transfer RNA (tRNA) molecules are approximately 80 nucleotides in length. RNAcentral also lists the same sequence under 2 other names. Lineage: Bacteria; Pseudomonadati; Pseudomonadota; Gammaproteobacteria; Vibrionales; Vibrionaceae. The record is from RNAcentral.